GGAGUGACACAGUGACAGAGUGAGGAAGGGGGUGACACAGUGACAGAGUGAGGGAGGGGUUGACUAGUGACAGAGUGAAGGAGGUGGUGACUGUCACUAGUCACCCCAUCCCUCCCUUUGUCACUAAUCACCAUCUCCCUCACUCUGUCACUAGUCACCCCUUCCCUCCCUCACUCUGUCACUAGUCACCCCCUCCCUCUCUCUGUCACUAGUCACACCC
Pelobates cultripes (western spadefoot toad) is the source of this 220-nucleotide non-coding RNA. NCBI's taxonomy places the organism in Eukaryota, Metazoa, Chordata, Amphibia, Anura, Pelobatidae. The record is from the annotation of a GenBank genome assembly.